CCUCAGUGCUCCAUCUUACAAUGUGGUAUAUGAAUUGGUUGCAAGCAUGUUGUAAUUUGUCUAUGCAAUCACCAUGUCUACUAUAUUCUCCAUGACUAAAAUCCUCUCUAGGUUGAAGGCUGAGACAUGCCCGCCAAGCCUGAAUAACACUGUUCAGUCCUACACCUACAAUUACUGUUAAUUUAUUUAGCACGUAAUUUAAGCAUGAACC
This is a non-coding RNA of Pelobates cultripes (western spadefoot toad), 211 nucleotides long. The record is from the annotation of a GenBank genome assembly. NCBI's taxonomy places the organism in Eukaryota, Metazoa, Chordata, Amphibia, Anura, Pelobatidae.